Molecule: ribosomal RNA, 1464 nt
Filed under: Triticum aestivum (bread wheat)
Lineage: Eukaryota; Viridiplantae; Streptophyta; Magnoliopsida; Poales; Poaceae
Description: partial small subunit ribosomal RNA
Source: RNAcentral
AUGUCAAACAACUGCCGAAACGGCCGCUUGCGGUCGUUCGAAAGGCUGUCUUAUGGUGUGUACUCCGGUAAAAUGGCCGCCAAAUCUUCAUAUGAACUCGAAAUCCAAUAUCGGGGUGAUAUGGCCGAGGGAAACAAUUGUAACUUAGUGGAAAACCGGCUAAAUCCACGAUGUGGGACUAAAAGUUCCCGGGUACAUCUUACCAGUAGUAGCCGACCAACAUCUGCUCCCGCCCCACCGAGAGUCCUGCUUCCGGCCGUCGUCCCAACACUUGUCUCCAGUGUGGGGAUGACGGCGAUGCGCCGAUGCAAGCCCUAUGCUCCUCCUCCUCCCAUGCUGGCCGCCAACAGUCGCCUCGUCCCCUGCUCACCGACUUGGACUCGAAGUGAUUCUACACUCACAGAGUGGCGCAAUGAGACUGAAAGGCAGGAGAAAGGAAGGAAUGCAGGCUUCACACACCUCACCUCGGCAGUGUACUCACCGAGUCCCCGCUUCCAAGCCCAUCUGUCUCCCCUAUGUGGACCAGGCCCACAAAGUACGGGCCAGUCCCUCGCCCGGACGACACAGGGUUACACGUCAAGUGCGGCCCGCUCCGCGUACCCAUCGCGCUCCCGUACGAGACUGACACGGCCGGGGAACGCUCCCAGAUCGCCGCCGCGUAGCCUUCCGCCACCGGGUUCGACGAGGGAGCCAGGGCACGCAAGGCGGCCUAUAGCCUAUAGGGAGAGUAGGUCGUGGAUUUUUGGGGAUGCGGCCCAGAGGCGCGGCAACGUCGUGGGUUGUGGGGCGGACGCGCAUCUCUACGACGACCUGGACGCCGCCGCCAUCCCGGCGCUCCUCGGCUCCUGCUUCGACGGCGAUAACGUCGAUGCUCAAGCCUGUACCAGCUCCACUACGCCGCGAAACAAUCAGAGUCACCUUGUAGCUUCAUAUCGUGUAGCAUCAACUCGUGGAGACGCCUUUCAUGAUUAUGAAUAUGGUGAGGGUUGGCAGCACAAACGAACUCCUCCAUGCUCUAAAGAUAUUGUAGGGUUUCAUAUGUACAAAAAGGACACCAUCGGUACUCUGCAAAAACGGCCACCGCCCUUGGUAAUCUUGUCUCCAGCUCGCUCCCUGUUAUUUGCAUGCUCAGACGACCACCACCAGGGUUGUCUGUAUAAUGCAGCCAGGGAAACUAACAUGCGCGGACAAUUUGCCAUGGUUCUUCCAUCCCACACUUAUCUUCUCAAGGAAACACACAUCAGUAUUCUUCAUAUGGUGGUGGAUACUAGAGUGGUAGUACAACAAAAAGGAUUGAUAUCCCAAAUGGAAGGUUGGUGUUAUCAUUGGAAAUGCUGGAGAAACUAUAAAGCAUAUCCAACUUUAGUCAGGGGCAAAGAUAAGCUGAUGCUGGCUCAUUUGGCACUAUCUCUAGUUGUGUUGAGCAAUUCUAGAUGCAAAUUGCUAACAACAAGUUCAUUGUGA